GAAUGCUGACAUAAGUAACGAUAAAGCGGGUGAAAAGCCCGCUCGCCGGAAGACCAAGGGUUCCUGUCCAACGUUAAUCGGGGCAGGGUGAGUCGACCCCUAAGGCGAGGCCGAAAGGCGUAGUCGAUGGGAAACGGGUUAAUAUUCCCGUACUUGGUGUUACUGCGAAGGGGGGACGGAGAAGGCUAUGUUGGCCGGGCGACGGUUGUCCCGGUUUAAGCGUGUAGGUGUGUGUUCCAGGUAAAUCCGGUUCACUUUAACACUGAGGCGUGAUGACGAGGCACUACGGUGCUGAAGCAACAAAUGCCCUGCUUCCAGGAAAAGCCUCUAAGCAUCAGGUAACAUCAAAUCGUACCCCAAACCGACACAGGUGGUCAGGUAGAGAAUACCAAGGCGCUUGAGAGAACUCGGGUGAAGGAACUAGGCAAAAUGGUGCCGUAACUUCGGGAGAAGGCACGCUGACACGUAGGUGAAGUGAUUUACUCAUGGAGCUGAAGUCAGUCGAAGAUACCAGCUGGCUGCAACUGUUUAUUAAAAACACAGCACUGUGCAAACACGAAAGUGGACGUAUACGGUGUGACGCCUGCCCGGUGCCGGAAGGUUAAUUGAUGGGGUCAGCGCAAGCGAAGCUCCUGAUCGAAGCCCCGGUAAACGGCGGCCGUAACUAUAACGGUCCUAAGGUAGCGAAAUUCCUUGUCGGGUAAGUUCCGACCUGCACGAAUGGCGUAAUGAUGGCCAGGCUGUCUCCACCCGAGACUCAGUGAAAUUGAACUCGCUGUGAAGAUGCAGUGUACCCGCGGCAAGACGGAAAGACCCCGUGAACCUUUACUAUAGCUUGACACUGAACAUUGAGCCUUGAUGUGUAGGAUAGGUGGGAGGCUUUGAAGUGUGGACGCCAGUCUGCAUGGAGCCGACCUUGAAAUACCACCCUUUAAUGUUUGAUGUUCUAACGUGGACCCGUAAUCCGGGUUGCGGACAGUGUCUGGUGGGUAGUUUGACUGGGGCGGUCUCCUCCUAAAGAGUAACGGAGGAGCACGAAGGUUGGCUAAUCCUGGUCGGACAUCAGGAGGUUAGUGCAAUGGCAUAAGCCAGCUUGACUGCGAGCGUGACGGCGCGAGCAGGUGCGAAAGCAGGUCAUAGUGAUCCGGUGGUUCUGAAUGGAAGGGCCAUCGCUCAACGGAUAAAAGGUACUCCGGGGAUAACAGGCUGAUACCGCCCAAGAGUUCAUAUCGACGGCGGUGUUUGGCACCUCGAUGUCGGCUCAUCACAUCCUGGGGCUGAAGUAGGUCCCAAGGGUAUGGCUGUUCGCCAUUUAAAGUGGUACGCGAGCUGGGUUUAGAACGUCGUGAGACAGUUCGGUCCCUAUCUGCCGUGGGCGCUGGAGAACUGAGGGGGGCUGCUCCUAGUACGAGAGGACCGGAGUGGACGCAUCACUGGUGUUCGGGUUGUCAUGCCAAUGGCACUGCCCGGUAGCUAAAUGCGGAAGAGAUAAGUGCUGAAAGCAUCUAAGCACGAAACUUGCCCCGAGAUGAGUUCUCCCUGAGACUUAAAGUCUCCUGAAGGAACGUUGAAGACGACGACGUUGAUAGGCCGGGUGUGUAAGCGCAGCGAUGCGUUGAGCUAACCGG
Molecule: ribosomal RNA, 1628 nt
Filed under: Salmonella enterica subsp. enterica serovar Mikawasima
Lineage: Bacteria; Pseudomonadati; Pseudomonadota; Gammaproteobacteria; Enterobacterales; Enterobacteriaceae
Description: partial 23S ribosomal RNA
Rfam family: Bacterial large subunit ribosomal RNA
Source: RNAcentral